Molecule: ribosomal RNA, 468 nt
Filed under: uncultured bacterium
Lineage: Bacteria
Description: partial 16S ribosomal RNA
Rfam family: Bacterial small subunit ribosomal RNA
Source: RNAcentral
GACGAACGCUGGCGGUGUGCUUAACACAUGCAAGUCGAACGGAAAGGCCCUGCUUUUGUGGGGUGCUCGAGUGGCGAACGGGUGAGUAACACGUGAGUAACCUGCCCUGGACUUUGGGGUAACUUCAGGAAACUGGGGCGAAUACCGGAUAGGAGCUCCUGCUGCAUGGAGGGGGGGGGAAAGUUUCGGCGGUUGGGGAUGGACUCGCGGCUUAUCAGCGUGUUGGUGGGGUAGUGGCUUACCAAGGCUUUGACGGGUAGCCGGCCUGAGAGGGUGACCGGCCACAUUGGGACUGAGAUACGGCCCAGACUCCUACGGGAGGCAGAAGGGGGGAAUAUUGCACAAUGGGCGGAAGCCUGAUGCAGCAACGCCGCGUGCGGGAUGACGGCCUUCGGGUUGUAAACCGCUUUCGCCUGUGACGAAGCGUGAGUGACGGUAAUGGGUAAAGAAGCACCGGCUAACUACGUG